RNAcentral lists this ribosomal RNA (252 nucleotides) under uncultured Glomus. RNAcentral's name for it is "partial 18S ribosomal RNA". It matches the Rfam family "Eukaryotic small subunit ribosomal RNA", at positions 624 to 880 of the family's 1831-position model. Lineage: Eukaryota; Fungi; Glomeromycota; Glomeromycetes; Glomerales; Glomeraceae. The record is from RNAcentral.
AAGCUCGUAGUUGAAUUUCGGGAUCAGACUGUCGGUCGUGCCUCGGUACGCACUGGCAUUAUUGGUUCCUACCUUCUGAAGAACCGCGAUGUCAUUAAUUUGGUGUCGCGGGGAAUCAGGACUGUUACUUUGAAAAAACUUAGAGUGUUUAAAGCAGGCUUACGCUUGAAUACAUUAGCAUGGAAUAAUGAAAUAGGACGUUUGAUUCUAUUUUGUUGGUUUCUAGGAUCGACGUAAUGAUUAAUAGGGAUG